Mustela erminea (ermine) is the source of this 1077-nucleotide long non-coding RNA. RefSeq lists it as uncharacterized. The transcript has 2 exons. Lineage: Eukaryota; Metazoa; Chordata; Mammalia; Carnivora; Mustelidae. The record is from RefSeq and is a predicted model, not a curated record.
CAGCAAAAAUGGGUCUCUUUGGGCAAAGCAGAGGAUUCCAACCCAGGACGAGCAAGCUGCCGCAAAAUGGUAGGCAAGUCCAACAAGCAGAGGAGAAAAACAUUAUUUCACCGGGAAAAAGAAGGAAGUUGGGGGGAGGGCUUGUUCUGAACAAAAGUCCAUUUAAAGCGAAGCCAGAGUUCAGGGUAAUAACGUUUCCCUUUCUCAUUGCCUGAGUGGCAGAGGUGGUCAGUUUCUUUUAGAAGAUGCCACGUGUGGAUCUUUCCGUUUGGGGGCCUAUAACUGAUGAUCGUGUCCUGCCGAGGUUCUUCUGCUGGGGUCUGCAACUGACCAUUCUUCCCUGUAAUCCACACGGAGUGGUGGACUGCCCCACCUGCCUCCUUUUCCAGCAUUCCAGGUCCACUUCAGUGAGGUUUCCUUUCAUUAAUUUUCCCGUUUCCUUCUUUGAGAUCAAGAUCUUUCCUCGAAAGCAUCGUUGACCAAGAGUUAGGUAUUUGGUAUAGACUGGUUUUGUCCCUCAGGGCCUGGGAGGACCCACGCUGGAAGGAAAGUGCAUAGCAAUUGGAAACCACUCCGGACCACAUUUGAGUAGCAAGAAGAGUAAGGAGGGAGAACUCUCGGAUGCUUGCCCUCUGAGGUCUGUGUCUUCUCCAGGUUAUGGGCAUUGGAGGUCAUCUUAAAGCGUCAAGCUAGCAUCACCUGAUUGGGGACAUUGUUUUUAUGAAAGACUGAUAGGCAAGUACACAAUCAAAAGUAACAUGACAAUUUCGGAACUGUAUGCUGAUUCUAAACCGGGACGCUGGGUCUGAAGGUAGCCAGCUGAAAAUGUUUCUUGGCUCUUAAUUCCAGUUUAGGGAAGAGAAGUUUCUCCCUAUGAAGGCAAGCCCAGGCUCAUGGAUGGCCCCCGGAAGUCCCUGAUUAAAGUAGGUGCAAGAGCAGAAUAGUAAAUAUUGCACAAGCACAUGGAAAGAACCAAUCCAGUGCACUGGGAAGAAACAGUGGGACUCAUCUCCGACAUGAGCAAGGCGGUCUAAAUCUGGAGUGGCUUAAAAUAAAUAAAUAAAUAAAUAAAUAAAU